This 253-nucleotide ribosomal RNA is filed under the name uncultured bacterium. Its description in RNAcentral is "partial 16S ribosomal RNA". It matches the Rfam family "Bacterial small subunit ribosomal RNA", at positions 524 to 776 of the family's 1533-position model. The record is from RNAcentral.
UACGUAGGGGGCAAGCGUUGUCCGGAAUCAUUGGGCGUAAAGCGCGCGUAGGCGGCCCGGUAAGUCCGCUGUAAAAGUCCAGGGCUCAACCCUGGAAAGCCGGUGGAUACUGUCGGGCUAGAGUCCGGAAGAGGCGAGUGGAAUUCCUGGUGUAGCGGUGGAAUGCGCAGAUAUCAGGAGGAACACCGAUGGCGAAGGCAGCUCGCUGGGACGGUACUGACGCUAAGGCGCGAAAGCAUGGGGAGCAAACAGG